This 253-nucleotide ribosomal RNA is filed under the name uncultured bacterium. RNAcentral describes it as "partial 16S ribosomal RNA". It matches the Rfam family "Bacterial small subunit ribosomal RNA", at positions 524 to 776 of the family's 1533-position model. The record is from RNAcentral.
UACAGAGGGUGCAAACGUUGUUCGGAUUUACUGGGCGUAAAGAGCGUGUAGGCGGCCUGAAAGGUCAGCUGUGAAAACUCGAGGCUCAACCUCGAGACGUCGGUUGAAACCAUCUGGCUAGAGUCCGGAAGAGGAGUGUGGAAUUCCCGGUGUAGCGGUGAAAUGCGCAGAUAUCGGGAAGAACACCCGUGGCGAAGGCGGCACUCUGGGACGGUACUGACGCUGAGACGCGAAAGCGUGGGGAGCGAACAGG